This 561-nucleotide ribosomal RNA is filed under the name uncultured bacterium. RNAcentral describes it as "bacterial SSU rRNA". It matches the Rfam family "Bacterial small subunit ribosomal RNA", at positions 338 to 916 of the family's 1533-position model. The record is from RNAcentral.
CCUACGGGAGGCAGCAGUGGGGAAUAUUGGACAAUGGGCGAAAGCCUGAUCCAGCAAUGCCGCGUGAGUGAUGAAGGCCUUAGGGUUGUAAAGCUCUUUUACCAGGGAUGAUAAUGACAGUACCUGGAGAAUAAGCUCCGGCUAACUCCGUGCCAGCAGCCGCGGUAAUACGGAGGAAGCUAGCGUUGUUCGGAAUUACUGGGCGUAAAGCGUACGUAGGCGGUUAUUCAAGUCAGAGGUGAAAGCCUGGAGCUCAACUCCAGAACUGCCUUUGAAACUAGGUAGCUAGAAUCACGGAGAGGUUAGUGGAAUUCCGAGUGUAGAGGUGAAAUUCGUAGAUAUUCGGAAGAACACCAGUGGCGAAGGCGACUAACUGGACGUGUAUUGACGCUGAGGUACGAAAGCGUGGGGAGCAAACAGGAUUAGAUACCCUGGUAGUCCACGCCGUAAACGAUGAUAACUAGCUGUUCGGUCUCUACGAGACUGAGUGGCGCAGCUAACGCAUUAAGUUAUCCGCCUGGGGAGUACGGUCGCAAGAUUAAAACUCAAAGGAAUUGACGG